GAUGAACGCUGGCGGCGUGCUUAACACAUGCAAGUCGAACGAAGCACUUUAACCUGAUUCUUCGGAUGAAGGUUUUUGUGACUGAGUGGCGGACGGGUGAGUAACGCGUGGGUAACCUGCCUCAUACAGGGGGAUAACAGUUAGAAAUGACUGCUAAUACCGCAUAAGACCACAGAGCCGCAUGGCUCGGUGGGAAAAACUCCGGUGGUAUGAGAUGGACCCGCGUCUGAUUAGGUAGUUGGUGGGGUAACGGCCUACCAAGCCAACGAUCAGUAGCCGAGCUGAGAGGGGGACCGGCCACAUUGGGACUGAGACACGGCCCAAACUCCUACGGGAGGCAGCAGUGGGGAAUAUUGCACAAUGGGGGAAACCCUGAUGCAGCGACGCCGCGUGAGCGAAGAAGUAUUUCGGUAUGUAAAGCUCUAUCAGCAGGGAAGAAAAUGACGGUACCUGACUAAGAAGCACCGGCUAAAUACGUG
This 479-nucleotide ribosomal RNA is filed under the name uncultured bacterium. Its description in RNAcentral is "partial 16S ribosomal RNA". It matches the Rfam family "Bacterial small subunit ribosomal RNA", at positions 28 to 507 of the family's 1533-position model. The record is from RNAcentral.